AGAACGAACGCUGGCGGCAGGCUUAACACAUGCAAGUCGAACGGCUGUAGCAAUACAGCAGUGGCAGACGGGUGAGUAACACGUGAGAACCUUCCUAGGGGUACGGAACAACUCAGGGAAACUUGAGCUAAUACCGUAUACGUCCGUGAGGAGAAAGAUUUAUCGCCCUUAGACGGGCCCGCGUCGGAUUAGGUAGUUGGUGGGGUAACGGCCUACCAAGCCUACGAUCCGUAGCUGAUCUGAGAGGAUGACCAGCCACACUGGGACUGAGACACGGCCCAGACUCCUACGGGAGGCAGCAGUGGGGAAUCUUGGACAAUGGGCGCAAGCCUGAUCCAGCCAUGCCGCGUGAGUGAAGAAGGCCUUAGGGUUGUAAAGCUCUUUUGCCAGGGACGAUAAUGACGGUACCUGGAGAAUAAGCCCGGCAAACGUUCGUGCCAGCAGCCGC
RNAcentral lists this ribosomal RNA (448 nucleotides) under uncultured bacterium. RNAcentral's name for it is "SSU rRNA". It matches the Rfam family "Bacterial small subunit ribosomal RNA", at positions 26 to 518 of the family's 1533-position model. The record is from RNAcentral.